RNAcentral lists this transfer RNA (73 nucleotides) under Neotoma lepida (desert woodrat). It matches the Rfam family "tRNA". From Rfam's summary of the family: Transfer RNA (tRNA) molecules are approximately 80 nucleotides in length. Their secondary structure includes four short double-helical elements and three loops (D, anti-codon, and T loops). The record is from Rfam by way of RNAcentral. Lineage: Eukaryota; Metazoa; Chordata; Mammalia; Rodentia; Cricetidae.
ACCCGACUAGCUCAGUCGGUAGAGCAUAGGACUCUUAAUCCCAGGGUUGCAGGCUCUAGCCCCACGUUGGGCA